This 841-nucleotide ribosomal RNA is filed under the name Metarhizium brunneum. Its description in RNAcentral is "partial 28S ribosomal RNA". It matches the Rfam family "Eukaryotic large subunit ribosomal RNA", at positions 74 to 938 of the family's 3401-position model. Lineage: Eukaryota; Fungi; Ascomycota; Sordariomycetes; Hypocreales; Clavicipitaceae. The record is from RNAcentral.
AUUGCCCCAGUAACGGCGAGUGAAGCGGCAACAGCUCAAAUUUGAAAUCUGGUCCCCAGGGCCCGAGUUGUAAUUUGCAGAGGAUGCUUUUGGUGAGGUGCCUUCCGAGUUCCCUGGAACGGGACGCCAUAGAGGGUGAGAGCCCCGUCUGGUUGGAUACCGAGCCUCUGUAAAGCUCCUUCGACGAGUCGAGUAGUUUGGGAAUGCUGCUCUAAAUGGGAGGUAUAUGUCUUCUAAAGCUAAAUAUUGGCCAGAGACCGAUAGCGCACAAGUAGAGUGAUCGAAAGAUGAAAAGCACUUUGAAAAGAGGGUUAAAUAGUACGUGAAAUUGUUGAAAGGGAAGCACUUAUGACCAGACUUGGCCCCGGUGAAUCAUCCAGCGGUUCCCGUUGGUGCACUUUGCCGGGGUUCAGGCCAGCAUCAGUUCGCUCCGGGGGAUAAAGGCUUUGGGAAUGUGGCUCCCUCGGGAGUGUUAUAGCCCAUUGCGCAAUACCCUGUGGCGGGCUGAGGUUCGCGCUUUAUGCAAGGAUGCUGGCAUAAUGGUCAUCAGUGACCCGUCUUGAAACACGGACCAAGGAGUCGUCUUCGUAUGCGAGUGUUCGGGUGUUAAACCCCUACGCGUAAUGAAAGUGAACGCAGGUGAGAGCCCUCCAGGGCGCAUCAUCGACCGAUCCUGAUGUUCUCGGAUGGAUUUGAGUAAGAGCAUACGGGGCCGGACCCGAAAGAAGGUGAACUAUGCCUGUAUAGGGUGAAGCCAGAGGAAACUCUGGUGGAGGCUCGCAGCGGUUCUGACGUGCAAAUCGAUCGUCAAAUAUGGGCAUGGGGGCGAAAGACUAAUCGA